AACGCAAAUUUAACAGCCAUUCGUAACACGUACAGUAUCUCGUCGAGGUUGAACCCCUCCGGGGCGUUCUUGACCCAUGAAGAAUGUGGAUUGGUGUUGCAAUAUAUUUAUUAUUGGCUUGGACUGGAGAACAAAUUUAUCGAUCUUGGGUGCAACAGUCUUUCUGUCGUCUGUUUUUUUAGCAGAUCUAAGGGUUUACCUUCGUGUGCCCGGAUGAGGACCGUUGCAAGGAUUGAUAAUACAACU
Saccharomyces cerevisiae Lalvin QA23 is the source of this 246-nucleotide non-coding RNA. The record is from Rfam. NCBI's taxonomy places the organism in Eukaryota, Fungi, Ascomycota, Saccharomycetes, Saccharomycetales, Saccharomycetaceae.